Peromyscus eremicus (cactus mouse) is the source of this 366-nucleotide long non-coding RNA. RefSeq lists it as uncharacterized. NCBI's taxonomy places the organism in Eukaryota, Metazoa, Chordata, Mammalia, Rodentia, Cricetidae. The transcript is spliced from 3 exons. The record is from RefSeq and is a predicted model, not a curated record.
GGAUUUGGGACACGGGACUAAGGCCGCUGACUCUGCAUCCCUUACAAGCAUACACAGCUGCCUGCCCUUUUGCCUUGUGUCCAUCCUGGAGCGGCCUUCUGCAAGCUUCUAUGUUGCCUGUCCUCAGUCCACUUGAAUCUCUUGAGAGAGCUGAGUCCUGUGUCUUCCUAGGCCCUGCCACAGGGACUUGGACGGCCUGCCUGUUGAGGCGGAUGUCCCUGGCCCCAGUGUUCCCUGCUUUGGAUGAUGUGGGGCAGCAUCCACUUGAAUGCACUUCACCAAGGAGGCCAAGGUUUUGGAAGGAAGCCCUUCUCCACUCCCAUCUCAAUAUUAGACCAUCGGAGCAUGGGACAGGAAGCUCUGGCG